This 207-nucleotide unclassified non-coding RNA is filed under the name uncultured fungus. RNAcentral describes it as "sequence contains ITS1, 5.8S rRNA gene". Lineage: Eukaryota; Fungi. The record is from RNAcentral.
GUACAUUAGUGCUUGCGCACGACAAACGUUUUCAUUACAUUCGAGUGUGUGUAAAAAUCCUCUGCCAGCCGAGGCGAGCAAGAGGCCAAAGGUUCACAAGGGUAGUAGUGGAUGAAAGCCACCAACGUGCACUUGCUCGCGAGAGCCAGCACCAAAGGUAACCAUUCGCAAUCAUUAAUGAUCCUUCCGCAGGUUCACCUACGGAAA